Long non-coding RNA from Hibiscus syriacus, 161 nucleotides. RefSeq lists it as uncharacterized. Lineage: Eukaryota; Viridiplantae; Streptophyta; Magnoliopsida; Malvales; Malvaceae. The record is from RefSeq and is a predicted model, not a curated record. The transcript is spliced from 3 exons.
GAUGGAUUUUAAACUUUAUUUUAUAUAUAUAUAUUCUAACUAGGUAAUUAAAUCCCUCUAGAACCAGGAACGUCAAUCCGUUCCAACCGAAGCUCAACUUCACCAGUCUCCACGUUUCUCAGCCUCAAGAACAUGUCUUGAACAAUUUUCCCCUUGCUCCA